CCUACGGGAGGCAGCAGUGAGGAAUAUUGGGCAAUGGACGAGAGUCUGAACCAGCCAAGUAGCGUGAAGGAUGACUGCCCUAUGGGUUGUAAACUUCUUUUAUAUGGGAAUAAAAUGUUCCACGUGUGGGAUUUUGUAUGUACCAUAUGAAUAAGGAUCGGCUAACGCCGUGCCAGCAGCCGCGGUAAUACGGAGGAUCCGAGCGUUAUCCGGAUUUAUUGGGUUUAAAGGGAGCGUAGGUGGAUUGUUAAGUCAGUUGUGAAAGUUUGCGGCUCAACCGUAAAAUUGCAGUUGAAACUGGCAGUCUUGAGUACAGUAGAGGUGGGCGGAAUUCGUGGUGUAGCGGUGAAAUGCUUAGAUAUCACGAAGAACUCCGAUUGCGAAGGCAGUUCACUGGACUGCAACUGACACUGAGGCUCGAAAGUGUGGGUAUCAAACAGGAUUAGAUACCCGGGUAGUC
This 460-nucleotide ribosomal RNA is filed under the name uncultured bacterium. RNAcentral's name for it is "partial 16S ribosomal RNA". It matches the Rfam family "Bacterial small subunit ribosomal RNA", at positions 338 to 795 of the family's 1533-position model. The record is from RNAcentral.